UGGGGAAUAUUGCACAAUGGGCGCAAGCCUGAUGCAGCAACGCCGCGUGAGGGAUGACGGCCUUCGGGUUGUAAACCUCUUUUAGCAGGGAAGAAGCGAAAGUGACGGUACCUGCAGAAAAAGCGCCGGCUAACUACGUGCCAGCAGCCGCGGUAAUACGUAGGGCGCAAGCGUUAUCCGGAAUUAUUGGGCGUAAAGAGCUCGUAGGCGGUUUGUCGCGUCUGCUGUGAAAUCCCGAGACUCAACCUCGGGUCUGCAGUGGGUACGGGCAGACUAGAGUGCGGUAGGGGAGAUUGGAAUUCCUGGUGUAGCGGUGGAAUGCGCAGAUAUCAGGAGGAACACCGAUGGCGAAGGCAGAUCUCUGGGCCGUAACUGACGCUGAGGAGCGAAAGGGUGGGGAGCAAACAGGCUUAGAUACCCUGGUAGUCCACCCCGUAAACGUUGGGAACUAGUUGUGGGGUCCAUUCCACGGAUUCCGUGACGCAGCUAACGCAUUAAGUUCCCCGCCUGGGGAGUACGGCCGCAAGGCUAAAACUCAAAGGAAUUGACGGGGACCCGCACAAGCGGCGGAGGAUGCGGAUUAAUUCGAUGC
This 592-nucleotide ribosomal RNA is filed under the name uncultured Microbacterium sp. RNAcentral's name for it is "bacterial SSU rRNA". It matches the Rfam family "Bacterial small subunit ribosomal RNA", at positions 355 to 957 of the family's 1533-position model. The record is from RNAcentral. Lineage: Bacteria; Bacillati; Actinomycetota; Actinomycetes; Micrococcales; Microbacteriaceae.